CAGGCCUAACACAUGCAAGUCGAACGGUAAGGCCCCAGCUUGCUGGGGUACACGAGUGGCGAACGGGUGAGUAACACGUGGGUGACCUGCCCCGCACUUCGGGAUAAGCCUGGGAAACUGGGUCUAAUACCGGAUAGGACCGCACCGUGAGGGUGUGGUGGAAAGUUUUUCGGUGUGGGAUGGGCCCGCGGCCUAUCAGCUUGUUGGUGGGGUAAUGGCCUACCAAGGCGGCGACGGGUAGCCGGCCUGAGAGGGUGGACGGCCACAUUGGGACUGAGACACGGCCCAGACUCCUACGGGAGGCAGCAGUGGGGAAUAUUGCACAAUGGGCGGAAGCCUGAUGCAGCGACGCCGCGUGGGGGAUGACGGCCUUCGGGUUGUAAACUCCUUUCACCAUCGACGAAGGUUUUCUGACGGUAGAUGGAGAAGAAGCACCGGCUAACUACGUGCCAGCAGCCGCGGUAAUACGUAGGGUGCGAGCGUUGUCCGGAAUUACUGGGCGUAAAGAGCUCGUAGGUGGUUUGUCGCGUCGUCUGUGAAAUUCCGGGGCUUAACUCCGGGCGUGCAGGCGAUACGGGCAUAACUUGGAGUACUGUAGGGGAGACUGGAAUUCCUGGUGUAGCGGUGAAAUGCGCAGAUAUCAGGAGGAACACCGGUGGCGAAGGCGGGUCUCUGGGCAGUAACUGACGCUGAGGAGCGAAAGCAUGGGUAGCGAACAGGAUUAGAUACCCUGGUAGUCCAUGCCGUAAACGGUGGGCGCUAGGUGUAGGGGUCUUCCACGACUUCUGUGCCGUAGCUAACGCAUUAAGCGCCCCGCCUGGGGUACGGCCGCAAGGGCUAAAACUCAAAGGAAUUGACGGGGGCCCGCACAAGCGGCGGAGCAUGUGGAUUAAUUCGAUGCAACGCGAAGAACUUACCUGGGCUUGACAUAUACGGGACCGGGCCAGAGAUGGUCCUUCCCUUGUGGCUCGUAUACAGGUGGUGCAUGGUUGUCGUCAGCUCGUGUCGUGAGAUGUUGGGUUAAGUCCCGCAACGAGCGCAACCCUUGUCUUAAGUUGCCAGCACGUAAUGGUGGGGACUCGUGAGAAACUGCCGGGGUCAACUCGGAGGAAGGUGGGGAUGACGUCAAAUCAUCAUGCCCCUUAUGUCCAGGGCUUCACACAUGCUACAAUGGUCGGUACAGUGGGUUGCGAUGCCGUGAGGUGGAGCUAAUCCCUGAAAGCCGGUCUCAGUUCGGAUCGGGGUCUGCAACUCGACCCCGUGAAGUCGGAGUCGCUAGUAAUCGCAGAUCAGCAACGCUGCGGUGAAUACGUUCCCGGGCCUUGUACACACCGCCC
This 1337-nucleotide ribosomal RNA is filed under the name uncultured bacterium. Its description in RNAcentral is "bacterial SSU rRNA". It matches the Rfam family "Bacterial small subunit ribosomal RNA", at positions 43 to 1395 of the family's 1533-position model. The record is from RNAcentral.